Molecule: ribosomal RNA, 490 nt
Filed under: uncultured bacterium
Lineage: Bacteria
Description: partial 16S ribosomal RNA
Rfam family: Bacterial small subunit ribosomal RNA
Source: RNAcentral
AUUGAACGCUGGCGGCAGGCUUAACACAUGCAAGUCGAGUGGUAGCACAGGGGAGCUUGCUCCCUGGGUGACGAGCGGCGGACGGGUGAGUAAUGUCUGGGAAACUGCCUGAUGGAGGGGGAUAACUACUGGAAACGGUAGCUAAUACCGCAUAACGUCGCAAGACCAAAGAGGGGGACCUUCGGGCCUCUUGCCAUCAGAUGUGCCCAGAUGGGAUUAGCUAGUAGGUGGGGUAAUGGCUCACCUAGGCGACGAUCCCUAGCUGGUCUGAGAGGAUGACCAGCCACACUGGAACUGAGACACGGUCCAGACUCCUACGGGAGGCAGCAGUGGGGAAUAUUGCACAAUGGGCGCAAGCCUGAUGCAGCCAUGCCGCGUGUGUGAAGAAGGCCUUCGGGUUGUAAAGCACUUUCAGCGAGGAGGAAGGUGGUGAGCUUAAUACGUUCAUCAAUUGACGUUACUCGCAGAAGAAGCACCGGCUAACUCCGUG